This 388-nucleotide ribosomal RNA is filed under the name uncultured bacterium. RNAcentral's name for it is "bacterial SSU rRNA". It matches the Rfam family "Bacterial small subunit ribosomal RNA", at positions 30 to 420 of the family's 1533-position model. The record is from RNAcentral.
AUUGAACGCUGGCGGCAUGCCUUACACAUGCAAGUCGAACGGUAGCGGGCCUUCGGGUGCCGACGAGUGGCGAACGGGUGAGUAAUGUAUCGGAACGUACCAUUGAGUGGGGGAUAACGUAGCGAAAGUUACGCUAAUACCGCAUAUUCUCUCCGGAGGAAAGCAGGGGACCGCAAGGCCUUGCGCUCUUUGAGCGGCCGAUAUCAGAUUAGCUAGUUGGUGAGGUAAAGGCUCACCAAGGCGACGAUCUGUAGCGGGUCUGAGAGGAUGAUCCGCCACACUGGAACUGAGACACGGUCCAGACUCCUACGGGAGGCAGCAGUGGGGAAUUUUGGACAAUGGGGGCAACCCUGAUCCAGCCAUGCCGCGUGAGUGAAGAAGGCCUCGG